Pan troglodytes (chimpanzee) is the source of this 419-nucleotide long non-coding RNA. RefSeq lists it as uncharacterized. The transcript is spliced from 2 exons. The record is from RefSeq and is a predicted model, not a curated record. Lineage: Eukaryota; Metazoa; Chordata; Mammalia; Primates; Hominidae.
UGAGGUGGGUGGGUCUCUGCGCCCCCUGCCUACCCCACUUCCCCCUCCAGUUCUCAGCUUCUCUUUGAAGUCCGAGAAGUGAGGAUGCGCCUCGUGGAUCGCAGCGGGGGAGGAAAGGGGAGAAGAGGGGAGUCAAGAUCUUGCUGUAUUGCCGAGGCUGGACUCAAACUCCUGGGCUCAAGUGAUUCUCCUGCCUCAGUCUCCUGAGUAGCUAAGACUACAGGCAUGUACCUCCAUGCCUAGCCCCUCUUACUGUUAAUUAUUGUCAUAUAACCACCCAUAAUGUCGCUUCUCACUUUCUGAAUUAUUGCUCUCCCCAUGUUGUAGCCUCUGAACCCGGAGAACCUUAUUUCUACAAUUAUGUGUAAAGUAAAAUCAGCGAAGUUCUUAAUGAGAAUCUCCCACCUGGUUAAAAUGUA